UUUUUUUAUUUUUUAUUUUUUUGAGACGGAGUCUCGCUCUGUCGCCCAGGCUGGAGUGCAGUGGCCGGAUCUCAGCUCACUGCAAGCUCCACCUCCCGGGUUUACGCCAUUUUCCUGCCUCAGCCUCCCAAGUAGCUGGGACUACAGGCUCGCCACCUCACCGGCUAGUUUUUUUUUGUAUUUCUUUAGUAGAGACGGGGUUUCGCCGUGUUAGCCAGCAUGGUCUCGAUCUCCUGACCUCGUGAUCCGCCUGUCUCGGCCUCCCAAAGUGCUGGGAUUACAGGCUUGAGCCACCGCGCCUGGCCUGAAGUUAUUUAGAGAAUCUCUAAGAUACAAGUGGAGAGACAGCUGGAAGGGGCAGCACCCAGGCCUUCGGUGUGGGGACAGAGUUAAGAUCCACAUGAUCACAGCAGACUGAUACGGGGAGCCGAAACAAACGGGAAAACAUUUGAGCCUGAUACUCGGUUCCAAAACUCAGUCGCUGAAAGGCGUAAUAGGGGAGUGCAGAUUGGAGGGUCAUGCCCAUGAAAACAAAUACAGGUGUUUCAUUUUGUUCUUGUUGCCAUCAGAAAUGCUACAUACAAAUAUGACACCAUCCCAAACUGCACUCACAGAAUAGUGAGUAGUGUGUCGGCCAGGGCAAGAAAAAUAAGAGCAAUAAUAGUUAUUUUAGUUAUUGUAGGCCAAGGGACCCACAUCCACAAUAUCGUUUGUUUACAGCUCAUUACUAAAUCCUCACAAUAACCCCGUGGGUAGAUGUUAGUGUUAUUACCAUUUUAUAGAUGCGCACACUGGAGCUUAGCGAGGGUAAGUAGUGGACUGCAAGGACGCUCUGCCCCUGGCCCGGAGGAACAGCUGGAGGAUGCCGGCAAGAUGUGUGUGAAGGGGGUCGUGCAGAGCGGCAGUCAACUGAUUCAGGAUUACUCAUUAAUGUAGAACUCCAACCAGUGAGUGGAGGGUAUGGGUUCAGUAGGGAGCUCUUCAGAAAUGGAACACGUUGAGAGGCCAGGAGUUCUCUAUCCCUGAAAGCAUUUAAGGAGAGGUUGGGUGGCUGUGGGAGGUAUUGGAGAAGGGAUUUUAACAUGGGGAGGGAACUGGGGAGAUGAUGUGUGAGUUUCUGUCUGGAAAAAAAAAGAUGGUACCAGCCUUGAACCUGUGUAAUCUUCUUUAGUAAUAUUCAAGCAAGAACAGACAUCAUAAAAUUGUGUGAGCAAAUCAGGUAAUACUGGUGAAAGCCAAACACAGGCUCCCCGUUGUGGGAGUGAGAACAUGGCAUUGUUAGGGUGAUGGAUUCAUGCACCCUGGGGUGGGUGUGCUGAUGGCUUCUUUUGCUUCUGCUUCUACAGGCCCCUCUCCCAAUGCCUUUCCCAAAUCUCUCCUUAUGGGGAUUUUUUCCCCCUCCUAAACCACCUUAACUUGAAAUCCACUCACAUUUGUAGCCAUUUCACAGUCUCUUUGCGUAUUGGUGAGCCCUGUGGGGGUCACUGGUAUCUUAUAGUAUUGAGGUUACAAAAUGUAAAGUUAUUCUGGGGAAAUUCCUUCUCUUCUGAAGUUUUAAUAGGGAGAAGGUGGUGAGCUUAACCCUACACACUGUCCUUUCCUUUGUCUAAUUCCUCCACAGGACAUUUGUCCAGUGCCCACUGUGGACUGGAAGUG
Molecule: long non-coding RNA, 1656 nt
Organism: Macaca fascicularis (crab-eating macaque)
Lineage: Eukaryota; Metazoa; Chordata; Mammalia; Primates; Cercopithecidae
Source: Ensembl